AGCUCCAAUAGCGUAUAUUAAAGUUGUUGCAGUUAAAAAGCUCGUAGUUGGACUUUGGGGCCCGAGGGGAGGUCCGCCCAGUGGGUGAGUACUUUUCCUUGGGUCCUUCCUUUCAAAGACCCUCUCUGCUCUUAACCGGGUGGGGAUGUGGGAUUUGGAUCUUUUACUUUGAACAAAUUAGAGUGUUUAAAGCAGACGCCUGUCUGAAUAUUUUAGCAUGGAAUAAUAGAAUAGGACUUUGGUCCUAUUUUGUUGGUUUUAAGGACCUCAGUAAUGAUUAAUAGGGAUAGUUGGGGGCAUUAAUAUUUAAUUGCUAGAGGUGAAAUUCUUGGAUUUAUGAAAGAUUAACUUCUGCGAAAGCAUUUGCCAAGGAUGUUUUCAUUAAUCAAGAACGAAAGUA
This 400-nucleotide ribosomal RNA is filed under the name phytoplankton environmental sample. RNAcentral's name for it is "partial small subunit ribosomal RNA". It matches the Rfam family "Eukaryotic small subunit ribosomal RNA", at positions 587 to 991 of the family's 1831-position model. The record is from RNAcentral.